CCUACGGGUGGCAGCAGUGGGGAAUUUUGGACAAUGGGCGAAAGCCUGAUCCAGCGACGCCGCGUGGAGGACGAAGGUCUUCGGAUUGUAAACUCCUUUUGCAGGGGACGAAAAAAAUGACGGUACUCUGCGAAUAAGCCACGGCUAACUACGUGCCAGCAGCCGCGGUAAUACGUAGGUGGCGAGCGUUACUCGGAAUCACUAGGCGUAAAGCGCGUGUAGGCGGUAUUUUAAGUCUGUUGUGAAAUUUUAUGGCAAAACCAUAAAAUGUCGACAGAUACUGAAGUACUAGAGUGAAGAAGGGGAAACUGGAAUUCCAGGUGUAGCGGUGAAAUGCGUAGAUAUCUGGAAGAACGCCAAAGGCGAAGGCAGGUUCCGGGGCCUUUACUGACGCUGAGACGCGAAAGCUAGGGGAGCAAACAGGAUUAGAUCCCCUGGUAGU
Molecule: ribosomal RNA, 442 nt
Filed under: uncultured Elusimicrobiales bacterium
Lineage: Bacteria; Pseudomonadati; Elusimicrobiota; Elusimicrobia; Elusimicrobiales
Description: partial 16S ribosomal RNA
Rfam family: Bacterial small subunit ribosomal RNA
Source: RNAcentral